RNAcentral lists this non-coding RNA (28 nucleotides) under Homo sapiens (human). Lineage: Eukaryota; Metazoa; Chordata; Mammalia; Primates; Hominidae. The record is from RNAcentral.
UGACAGAUGGAGCGUGUGCAUCGAAGUA